UACGUAGGGUGCGAGCGUUAUUCGGAAUUACUGGGCGUAAAGCGUGCGUAGGCGGUUGGCAAAGUCAGCUGUGAAAGCCCCGGGCUUAACCUGGGAAUGGCGGUUGAAACUAGUCGACUAGAAUCUGGCAGAGGGGGGUGGAAUUCCACGUGUAGCAGUGAAAUGCGUAGAGAUGUGGAGGAACACCGAUGGCGAAGGCAGCCCCCUGGGCUGAGAUUGACGCUCAGGCACGAAAGCGUGGGGAGCAAACAGG
This 253-nucleotide ribosomal RNA is filed under the name uncultured bacterium. RNAcentral describes it as "partial 16S ribosomal RNA". It matches the Rfam family "Bacterial small subunit ribosomal RNA", at positions 524 to 776 of the family's 1533-position model. The record is from RNAcentral.